GGGGAAGCGUGUGCGUACGGGAUUACGGGCAACAAGUGGACAAGACGGAUUCGUGGCCGCACACGCGGCCGAGCAUGCGUUUGGACUGUAAUUGGCAGGGGCGCAAGUAGGUUAAAAACGCUCACAAGGGAACAACUACACCACGACUGUAUCACGACUAUAUCUCGUCUGCUCGCACGUAUGCAACGACUAAUGCCUGCGUGUUUAACUAUGCCUUACCACCAAUGUCGCAAGAAACGCUGUUGCAGCACAAUGAGACGUCUUUAAGCUGGAUAGCGACCAGCUCCAAUUAUCCGUUUAACUGGUUGAUAUGUAGCACGGACAGGGGUUACGUAUGCACCGGUAACGAGUUCUGUACGUGGCGAGUUUUGAAGAAAAUAGAAAUAUAUUACGGUAGAAGGAACAGAGGAAACAUGUAAUGUAAAUCUUGGAGUUAAUGUUCCUGAAACUUGGCCUGGAAGGUGGAAGGAUAGCUGUGAUCGAAUUAAGGAGAAAUGUUAUUUGCAAGAAAAUAUAUAUGUAUAUAUAUAUAUGUAAUGGAAAAUUGUAUAUGCAAAAUGAUCCAAUUAAGUGUGAAAAUAGCGAGGAAUUUCAAGUGGAAUUUAUAUCUAAAUACUUGAUAUUUUUAUGUCUAGUUGAAGUCUUGCGUUUAAUUAAGUUUCUGAUGUUUGCAGAUUAAAAAGAUUAAGAAAUAUAAUAAUAAUAGGUGUUAGAAAAAAGUUAAUUUUUUUCUUAAAAAUUUCAUCGAAAAAAAUG
RNAcentral lists this unclassified non-coding RNA (756 nucleotides) under Apis dorsata (giant honeybee). Its description in RNAcentral is "uncharacterized LOC116184878, transcript variant X2". Lineage: Eukaryota; Metazoa; Arthropoda; Insecta; Hymenoptera; Apidae. The record is from RNAcentral.